Molecule: RNA transcript, 2893 nt
Organism: Triticum aestivum (bread wheat)
Lineage: Eukaryota; Viridiplantae; Streptophyta; Magnoliopsida; Poales; Poaceae
Exons: 2
Source: RefSeq, a predicted model, not a curated record
UUCUGAAAACCCCCCCCAGCGAAUUCCCGACAAACCGGCAGCUCCCGCCGUCUCCCCCGUUCCUCUGUCGCGCCGGAGGUCCGCUCCCCCGCAGCUCGGCUCCCCCGCAGCUCCCCGCAUCGCCGGAGCUCUCCCGCCCCACGCCUCCCCCACCCCACGCCUCCCCCGCAGCUUCCCUCUCCUUGUUCCCCUCCUCCUUCCCCAUGGUGAUCCCCGACGAGAAGAAGACUGAUUUUUUCUUUCGAUCUGCUCGGCGGCGGCCAUUUCCAGGUCCUCCUCCUCGGCGCUGCGGCGGCAGCUCGCCCGCGGUGGCGGAGCAGGCGAGUAGCAGCAGUGGGCGCGCGAGCAUGCGGCGAAGGAGGUCACCUUCGGCGUCGGCGCGCACGCCACCAUGCCGCGGUGCGUCAACGACCUCGCGGACGCCGCCAAGGUCACCAUGGGCCCCAAGCAUGUGCCGCUCAACAUGACCUGUAGAACACUGAAUGGAUGCACAAGAAAAGGAAAAAGGCAGCAAGGAGGGAGAGGAUAUUUUCGUAAGGAGUGAGUCUAAGAUCUUACUGUGGUUAAGAGUUCAAAACAACAGUUGCCUGUUUUUUGCAAGUUCAAAUCAAAAAUGAAUAUUGUUCCAAAAAAUUAUAUGGAAAUUACCCUUGUUAAGUUUGUCUCCCUGAAUUUGCUAACUGAUUUUUUUACAAUAAUCAUCAGUGUAACAAAGAUUAGAUUCUAUAGUACACAAGAUUCAGUGUAAAUCUUCAAAAUGAAUUGCUGUUGGUAUGUUCAGUGGUUAGAACAGAAGAUCAGAUUUCUUAGGUUCUACAGUACACAAGUUGAUAACAAAGAUGAGAUUUCUUAGGUUGCACUACUCCCAUUUUUGCUCUGCUCCCAUUUUUGCUCACAAUUAUUCAGAAAAGGACUACUCCUAGUAACAAAACAGAUCAUUUACUGAAAAUAGCUCUACAUUUCUUCUUCUAAUGGUUGUUCCUGUAGCAAUAGCUCUACAUUUACUGAAAAUAAACUUGAUGUACUGAAAAUAAACUUGGGCAUUGUUUACUGAAAAUAAACUUGGGCAUUGUUUCAGUAAACUGCAGUAGGUUUUUUCCAAGUUAGUGCUUGCAAAAUUUUAGGACCAUGUGAAUAAAAUGCUUUCAUGUAAGAAGAUGAUUAUUGGACUAUGUCUGUUUCACUGCUCACUGCUAACUGAAUUUUCUGAAGCUUUUAUUUAAAAAGUGAUGUCUGUCUUCCCUACCCAUCUCAUUGCUCACUGCUAGCAAUGAUUUAUACUCCAGCAAUUUUGAUUAAGUAAUUACUGUGACAAUAUUGCAACAUUUCUUCAGAGUACAUGAUCAGUUUUGCCCCUUUUCAAUAAAGGGGUGCAGCAACUUUUUGGGAUUUCUGAAACUAUAGUCACUGGGACAAUAUACAGUCACCUGGGAUUUCUGAAACUAUACUGUCACUUGGAACAGUUAAGCGUUUCUGGGGUUUCUUUCUUCUUCAGCAAGGCAUGAUUUAUUUUUUCUUCUUCUUUUUUCUCUAGUGUGCCAUGUCUUUUCUUCUCCUGUGUAGAAUUAGUAAAUGUUCAGAAUUAUGUUGUGUAUGCCAGUGUUGUGUUAACACUUAACCUGAUUUGCUUCCGGUGACUGAAAAUGGGAAUUAACAACAAUAGUAACUAGCCAAUAUUGUGUUCUCACAAGCAUGGAAUUCAGGUAGCAACAGUAACAGCAACAUGGUUAUUUGUUAUGUUCUCACUGCUCACAAGCUAACAGUAACAUCAACAUGAUUUAGUUUCUGAAGCUAACUGAAUUUUUUGAAGCUAGCAGCAACAAGUCAUCACACACACAGCUAACUGAAUCUUUUGAAGCGAUUUUGUACCUAUAUCAAUUUGAUUCGAUUUUGAUUUUGACCCUGACAAUGAAUUUCAAUUGUAAUCCAAUUAAACUCUCUGUAUCAAUUAAACUCUUUGUAUAACCUGUUAAUUUUGAUUGCAAUCAAGCUUUCGCAGGAACAAAUGAACAAUUUACUCUAAUGUGAUCAAGCUUUCGCAGGAACAGAGGCGGAGUAAAUUUCAGAUAACAUCAGCAGUAGAUCAGCAUUGCAAUUGACAAUUUUAAUACUCCAAUUAACACUGCAAUUGACACUGAUGGAGUACUUCAUUGACAAACUGAAAUGGAUACUGCAAUUGGCACUGUACCUGCAGCCAACAGCAGCAGCAGAGGCAAUCAGUAGUCGAGGUGAUCGAGGGCAGAGGCAAUCAGCAGUCGAGGGCAGGCGCCAGUGGCAUCAGCAGGUCUGCGUGGUCGUCUCGCCGGCGGGGAAGAUCCGCAUGGCCCUGCCUGCCGGAUUCUUCAAGAGGGGAGCGGCGACCGGGGUCGGCAGCGGCGGCUGGGGUUGCCGCGGGGUGAGGAACCGGCGAGCAGGGCCAGGGACGCGAGCAGGGCCACGAGGAGGAGGCGCCCGUUGAGGUGGUCGCCUUGGAGGAGCAGCCUCAGCUGGGCGGCGGGGCAGCUCGCCUCCGUGCGGACGGCCCACGUUCGCAGCGGCGGAGUAACCGCAGGUGGGCGGGCCGUCCGCAGCGGCGGAGCAACCGCAGGUGGGCUACGGCGCAGGUGGGCGUCGGCGGAGGUGGUCGCCCGCUCUUUCUACGGCGGCUGCCGGCGGUGGCUACGACGGCCGCUUGGUCGAAGGAGGAAGAAGCAGAGUUGAGGGGGGGAUUAGCACUAGAUUUAAAACUGGAAGGGUUUUUUUGUAAAAUUUGAAAUGAACUAAGCUCUGGACAACUUUUCCCGGACGGAGAGAGUAUUUAGGAACGGAGGGAGUAUACAUGUGUGCUUUCACAUCACCUUAAUUACCUAUGGCCAUACAAUCAAAAUUGUAUGACAUCAGCAAGUUGUGCUUG